UACGUAGGGAGCAAGCGUUGUCCGGAAUCAUUGGGCGUAAAGCGCGCGUAGGUGGCCCAGUAAGUCCGUUCUGAAAGUCACAGGCUCAACCUGUGAAAGCGGAUGGAUACUGCUGGGCUAGAGUCCGGAAGAGGCGAGUGGAAUUCCUGGUGUAGCGGUGGAAUGCGCAGAUAUCAGGAGGAACACCAACGGCGAAGGCAGCUCGCUGGGACGGUACUGACACUGAGGCGCGAAAGCGUGGGGAGCGAACAGG
This 253-nucleotide ribosomal RNA is filed under the name uncultured bacterium. Its description in RNAcentral is "partial 16S ribosomal RNA". It matches the Rfam family "Bacterial small subunit ribosomal RNA", at positions 524 to 776 of the family's 1533-position model. The record is from RNAcentral.